ACAGUUGACUGGUUUCUCCUUUCACUCUGCUGACAGGCUGACUCAGUCCCAGGCUUUCAGCUCUACUUGUUCUUACAACUGGCAUAUUUCUGCUAUCUGGUUCAUUUUAUUGCAACUGUCUUUUUGACUGAAUCUCAGCAGCAACCAAAAGCUGAAAAUGGAGCACAAAUUGUUGCCAGAUAUGUUGCUCAUACACACAUACAAAAAAAUCAACACAAAGUCACAGAAGGAGAGAUGCUUUGAUGCUUUUGAUAUUCCUGCAGGGGAUUCUGGCCAUGGAGAGGUGGGACUCAGAUGGAACCACUUGCUGCCAGAAGCAGGAGCCUGUUGAGGCCAACUUCCCUUCCAUACAGGAAAGAAAAUGAAGGGGAGCCAGACAGAAAUCCAAAACCAGGAAACUAAAACAGUUCAAGCUUUGUUUAAUAAACAAUAAGGCAACUUCUACCACCAACAGAACAGAGGUCAGAGAGCCAGAGCUGCAUGAAGAAACUUGAGCAGGUGCCAGAAGAAUGGGCUUUUUCUACCUGGACCCUACAAUAGAUACAGCACACGAAGAGCCUUCAUCCAGCAGCUGAUGGAAGUAGAAGCAGACACCUACAGCUAAACACUGAACUGAACUGGAAUCCAGUUGCAGAGGAGGAGGAGUGAUGAGCUAAGGGGUCAAGACUAGGCUGGUGAAACCCACAGAAACACCUGACCUGAACAAGAGGGAGCUCAUGGUCCCCAGACUGAUAGCUGGGAAACCGGCAUGGGACUGAUCCAGACCCCAUGAAUGUGGGUGACAGUGAGGAGGCCUCGGAAAUCUAUGGGGCCUCUUGUAGUAGAUCAGUACUUAUCCCUAGCAUAAGAAUGGACUUUGAGAGCCCAUUUCACAUAGAGGAAUACUCCCUUAGCUGAGACACAUGGGGGAGAGCCUAGGCCCUAUCCCAAAGGAUAUGACAGACUCUGAAGACUCCAUGGAAGGCCUUACUCUCCCUGGGGAACAGAAAUGGUAUGGAAUAGGUAGG
RNAcentral lists this long non-coding RNA (1007 nucleotides) under Cricetulus griseus (Chinese hamster). RNAcentral's name for it is "lncRNA (ENSCGRG00015034551.1)". The record is from RNAcentral. Lineage: Eukaryota; Metazoa; Chordata; Mammalia; Rodentia; Cricetidae.